This is a long non-coding RNA of Humulus lupulus (European hop), 519 nucleotides long. RefSeq lists it as uncharacterized. The record is from RefSeq and is a predicted model, not a curated record. The transcript has 2 exons. NCBI's taxonomy places the organism in Eukaryota, Viridiplantae, Streptophyta, Magnoliopsida, Rosales, Cannabaceae.
UUCUCGGUAAAAAUCUAACCAAUUAACUGCAUACUCUUUAAUUCAUUUAAAAUUAACAACAUCUAAAUGUUUAUGUUAUUAUUAUUUAGUGUCUUUCAACAUUUACGCACAAAUAAUGCAAAAACUAAGGAAGUUGCGUGGAGAACAGUUAAGAGUCCUCGUCAACCAUUACAAUCAGUACAAUGUGGGUUCUAUGUUAUGAGGAUGAUGAAGGACUUCGUGACAAAUGAGUUUUCAAUGCGAUGGCUAACUAGUAAUUGUGGCGGGAAGAACUAUUACACAAAGGAUGAUAUCAAUGAAGUACGUGAAGAAUGGGCACAAUGCGUCAUGGAUUUGAUGAGUACUAUAUAGGUCCACUCACUUUUGUUAACUUAGACUUUUAAUGAGAUAUACUUACAAUGUUAACUUAGACUUUCUUGAAGAUAUACACACUUUUGUUGCCUAACUAUAGUUUACAAUGCUUAUGUGAGUCAUUUUGUAAUUAACUUAAGACUCGUUAUUUUAGAUACUUAGUUCAAA